RNAcentral lists this ribosomal RNA (203 nucleotides) under Ceratobasidium sp. RNAcentral describes it as "partial large subunit ribosomal RNA". It matches the Rfam family "Eukaryotic large subunit ribosomal RNA", at positions 82 to 279 of the family's 3401-position model. The record is from RNAcentral. Lineage: Eukaryota; Fungi; Basidiomycota; Agaricomycetes; Cantharellales; Ceratobasidiaceae.
AGUAACGGCGAGUGAAGUGGCAACAGCUCAAAUUUGAAAUCUGGCGGUGUAUUCCGUCCGAGUUGUAGUCUAGAGAAGCAUCAUCCGUGCUGGACCAUGGACAAGUCUCUUGGAACAGAGCGUCAUAGAGGGGGAGAAGCCCGUCCUUGACAUGGACUCCCAGUACUUUGUGUUGUGCUCUCAACGAGUCGAGUUGUUUGGGA